RNAcentral lists this ribosomal RNA (440 nucleotides) under uncultured bacterium. RNAcentral's name for it is "partial 16S ribosomal RNA". It matches the Rfam family "Bacterial small subunit ribosomal RNA", at positions 338 to 795 of the family's 1533-position model. The record is from RNAcentral.
CCUACGGGUGGCAGCAGUAGGGAAUAUUGCUCAAUGGGGGAAACCCUGAACCAGCAACGCCGCGUGGAGGAUUACUGCUCUAGGAGUGUUAAACCUCUUUGUUAGAGGAGAUAAUGCCGGUAUCUAACGAAUAAGCACCUGCACACUCCGUACCCGGCGCCGCGGUCAUACGGAGCGUGCAAGCGUUACUCGGAAUCACUAGCCGUAACGAGCGCGUAGGCGGGUUAGCAAGUCACAUGUGAAAUCCUAUGGCUUAACCAUAGUCCUGCAUUUGAAACUGUUAUUCUAGAGUAUGGGAGAGGUAUGUGGAAUUCUUGGUGUAGGGGUAAAAUCCGUAGAGAUCAAGCAGAAUACUCAUUGCGAAGGCGGCCUGCUAGAACAUAACUGACGCUGAUGCACGAAAGCGUGGGGAGCGAACAGGAUUAGAUACCCCGGUAGUC